GACGAACGCUGGCGGCGUGCCUAAUACAUGCAAGUUGAGCGCUGAAGGUUGGUACUUGUAUCAACUGGAUGAGCAGCGAACGGGUGAGUAACGCGUGGGGAAUCUGCCUUUGAGCGGGGGACAACAUUUGGAAACGAAUGCUAAUACCGCAUAAAAACUUUAAACACAAGUUUUAAGUUUGAAAGAUGCAAUUGCAUCACUCAAAGAUGAUCCCGCGUUGUAUUAGCUAGUUGGUGAGGUAAAGGCUCACCAAGGCGAUGAUACAUAGCCGACCUGAGAGGGUGAUCGGCCACAUUGGGACUGAGACACGGCCCAAACUCCUACGGGAGGCAGCAGUAGGGAAUCUUCGGCAAUGGACGAACGUCUGACCGAGCAACGCCGCGUGAGUGAAGAAGGUUUUCGGAUCGUAAAACUCUGUUGGUAGAGAAGAACGUUGGUGAGAGUGGAAAGCUCAUCAAGUGACGGUAACUACCCAGAAAGGGACGGCUAACUACGUG
Molecule: ribosomal RNA, 497 nt
Filed under: uncultured bacterium
Lineage: Bacteria
Description: partial 16S ribosomal RNA
Rfam family: Bacterial small subunit ribosomal RNA
Source: RNAcentral